This 440-nucleotide ribosomal RNA is filed under the name uncultured bacterium. RNAcentral's name for it is "partial 16S ribosomal RNA". It matches the Rfam family "Bacterial small subunit ribosomal RNA", at positions 338 to 795 of the family's 1533-position model. The record is from RNAcentral.
CCUACGGGAGGCUGCAGUGGGGAAUAUUGCACAAUGGGGGAAACCCUGAUGCAGCAACGCCGCGUGAGUGAAGAAGUAUUUCGGUAUGUAAAGCUCUAUCAGCAGGGAAGAGAAUGACGGUACCUGACUAAUAAGCCCCGGCUAACUACGUGCCAGCAGCCGCGGUAAUACGUAGGGGGCGAGCGUUAUCCGGAUUUACUGGGUGUAAAGGGAGCGUAGACGGGUCUGCAAGUCUGAAGUGAAAGCCCAGGGCUUAACCGCGGAACGGCUUUUGAAACUGUGGAACUGGAGUGCUGGAGAGGCAAGCGGAAUUCCGAGUGUAGCGGUGAAAUGCGUAGAUAUUAGGAGGAACACCAGUGGCGAAGGCGGAUUGCUGGACAGUAACUGACGUUGAGGCUCGAAAGCGUGGGGAGCAAACAGGAUUAGAUACCCUUGUAGUC